AUUGAACGCUGGCGGCAUGCCUUACACAUGCAAGUCGAACGGUAACAGGUCUUCGGAUGCUGACGAGUGGCGAACGGGUGAGUAAUACAUCGGAACGUGCCCGAUCGUGGGGGAUAACGAAGCGAAAGCUUUGCUAAUACCGCAUAAGAUCUACGGAUGAAAGCAGGGGACCGCAAGGCCUUGCGCGAACGGAGCGGCCGAUGGCAGAUUAGGUAGUUGGUGGGAUAAAAGCUCACCAAGCCGACGAUCUGUAGCUGGUCUGAGAGGACGACCAGCCACACUGGGACUGAGACACGGCCCAGACUCCUACGGGAGGCAGCAGUGGGGAAUUUUGGACAAUGGGCGAAAGCCUGAUCCAGCCAUGCCGCGUGCAGGAUGAAGGCCUUCGGGUUGUAAACUGCUUUUGUACGGAACGAAAAGACUCUGGUUAAUACCUGGGGUCCAUGACGGUACCGUAAGAAUAAGCACCGGCUAACUACGUGCCAGCCGCCGCGGUAA
This 498-nucleotide ribosomal RNA is filed under the name uncultured bacterium. Its description in RNAcentral is "partial 16S ribosomal RNA". It matches the Rfam family "Bacterial small subunit ribosomal RNA", at positions 30 to 523 of the family's 1533-position model. The record is from RNAcentral.